This 301-nucleotide ribosomal RNA is filed under the name uncultured bacterium. RNAcentral's name for it is "partial 16S ribosomal RNA". It matches the Rfam family "Bacterial small subunit ribosomal RNA", at positions 509 to 807 of the family's 1533-position model. The record is from RNAcentral.
CAGUCGCCGCGGUAAUACGAAGGGGGCUAGCGUUGCUCGGAAUUACUGGGCGUAAAGGGCGCGUAGGCGGAUGAUUAAGUCGAGGGUGAAAGCCCGGGGCUCAACCUCGGAACUGCCUUUGAUACUGGUCAUCUUGAGUACGGGAGAGGUGUGUGGAACUCCGAGUGUAGAGGUGAAAUUCGUAGAUAUACGGAAGAACACCAGUGGCGAAGGCGACACACUGGCCCGUUACUGACGCUGAGGCGCGAAAGCGUGGGGAGCAAACAGGAUUAGAUACCCCUGUAGUCCCUGUCUCUUAUAC